This 252-nucleotide ribosomal RNA is filed under the name uncultured bacterium. RNAcentral describes it as "partial 16S ribosomal RNA". It matches the Rfam family "Bacterial small subunit ribosomal RNA", at positions 524 to 776 of the family's 1533-position model. The record is from RNAcentral.
UACGAAGGGUGCAAGCGUUACUCGGAAUUACUGGGCGUAAAGCGUGCGUAGGUGGUGAGUUAAGUCUGAUGUGAAAUCCCCGGGCUCAACCUGGGAAUGGCAUUGGAUACUGGCUCGCUAGAGUGCGGUAGAGGGUGGUGGAAUUCCCGGUGUAGCAGUGAAAUGCGUAGAGAUCGGGAGGAACAUCUGUGGCGAAGGCGGCCACCUGGACCAACACUGACACUGAGGCACGAAAGCGUGGGAGCAAACAGG